ACCUACGGGACGCAGCAGUAGGGAAUAUUGGUCAAUGGAGGCAACUCUGAACCAGCCAUGCCGCGUGAAGGAUGAAGGCGCUUUGCGUCGUAAACUUCUUUUAUAUGGGACGAAAAAGGUAGAUUUAUCUACAACUGACGGUACCAUAGGAAUAAGCACCGGCUAACUCCGUGCCAGCAGCCGCGGUAAUACGGAGGGUGCAAGCGUUAUCCGGAUUUACUGGGUUUAAAGGGUGCGUAGGCGGGACAAUAAGUCAGUGGUGAAAGCUCGUUGCUUAACAACGGAAUUGCCAUUGAAACUGUUGUUCUUGAGAUAAGUUGAGGUUGGCGGAAUGAGACAUGUAGCGGUGAAAUGCAUAGAUAUGUCUUAGAACACCGAUUGCGAAGGCAGCUGACUGGACUUUAUCUGACGCUGAGGCACGAAAGCGUGGGGAUCAAACAGGAUUAGAUACCCUAGUA
Molecule: ribosomal RNA, 458 nt
Filed under: uncultured bacterium
Lineage: Bacteria
Description: bacterial SSU rRNA
Rfam family: Bacterial small subunit ribosomal RNA
Source: RNAcentral